Homo sapiens (human) is the source of this 573-nucleotide long non-coding RNA. Ensembl annotates it as THAP9 antisense RNA 1. Its record names the gene THAP9-AS1. Lineage: Eukaryota; Metazoa; Chordata; Mammalia; Primates; Hominidae. The record is from Ensembl.
CCUUCUGUUUUCACCCAUUCUGGCACAAUCUGGCGCCAUCGUCCUUCUUGUGAGGCCAAGCCUGAAAAUGCGAAGCAGAGAGGCAGGACCAAAAUUGAGGCGAAUCCAGGAACCUGCCAAUGGGUCUCCGGCUCUCCGAUGCGGAGAUAAUGGGGAAGCUCUUGGCAUGGUUGGCUGUAGGUAUGUGAUACCGGAGGAGCAGGAGUCAAAUAGGAUACGCCGACUUUUAAUUCAAGGAACCCUUUUCUGAAACACUUUGCCACAAUGAAGGAAAUAAGAUUACAGCCGAAGAUACAUAUUAAGGAAUUGUACUCUCAGAGAUGUUGAGAAAAGAUACAUGGGUCUUGGAAGAUAAUUACUCAAAAUAUGCAGGGAAGGUAGUAUAUCUUUCUAUUUUAAAUGUAUUAAGUAUUCCUGGAACUAUAGCAGUGAGUUGGAAAUGGAGGAUUGUCCAAGUAAAAAACAUUUAUUAAGGCUUUAAUGAAAUCUACCUAUUUUAUGGUAUAUAAUCUCAUUAAUUGUCCACUUGGAAAGAAUAAUAACAGAUAUUUAUUUAUUGGCCAGUUACUAUGG